GACGAACGCUGGCGGCGGGCUUAACACAUGCAAGUCGAACGGAAAGGCACUGCGUUUGUGCUGUGCUCGAUUGGCGAACGGGUGAGUAACACGUGAGUAACGUGCUCCUGUCUUUGGGGUAACUUCACGAAACUGGGGCUAAUACCGUAUAGGAGCUCCUCCUCCAUUGAGGGCGUUGGAAAGUCUCAGCGGUUGUGGAUGGAUUCGCGGCUUAUCAGCUAGUUGGUGGGCUAGUGGCGUACCAAGGCUUUUACGGGUAGCCCGCCUGAGAGAGUGAACGGAGACAUGGCGACUGCGAUACGGACCAGACGGCAACGGUAGACAGCAGCGGGAAAUAUUGCACAAUGGGCGGAAGACUGAUGCAGAGCCGUAGCGUGCGUAAUGACGGCGUUAUGGUUGUGAACCGCUGUUGGCUGAGACGCAGCGUGAGUGACGGUACUGAGUAAAGAAGCACCGGCUAACUUCGUG
Molecule: ribosomal RNA, 468 nt
Filed under: uncultured bacterium
Lineage: Bacteria
Description: partial 16S ribosomal RNA
Rfam family: Bacterial small subunit ribosomal RNA
Source: RNAcentral